RNAcentral lists this ribosomal RNA (494 nucleotides) under uncultured bacterium. Its description in RNAcentral is "partial 16S ribosomal RNA". It matches the Rfam family "Bacterial small subunit ribosomal RNA", at positions 28 to 507 of the family's 1533-position model. The record is from RNAcentral.
GACGAACGCUGGCGGCGUGCUUAACGCAUGCAAGUCGAACGGUGAAGCGCCUUCCUUUUUGGUGGGUGUGGAUGAGUGGCGAACGGGUGAGUAACACGUGAGUAACCUGCCCCCUUCUUCUGGAUAACCGCAUGAAAGUGUGGCUAAUACGGGAUAUUCUGGGUCUGUCGCAUGAUGGGUCUGGGAAAGAUAUUGUUUCGGUGGGGGAUGGGCUCGCGGCCUAUCAGCUUGUUGGUGGGGUGAUGGCCUACCAAGGCGGUGACGGGUAGCCGGCCUGAGAGGGUGGACGGUCACACUGGGACUGAGACACGGCCCAGACUCCUACGGGAGGCAGCAGUGGGGAAUAGUGCACAAUGGGCGCAAGCCUGAUGCAGCGACGCCGCGUGAGGGAUGGAGGCCUUCGGGUUGUGAACCUCUUUCGCCAGUGAAGCAGGCCUGCCUCGUUUGUGGGUGGGUUGACGGUAGCUGGAUAAGAAGCGCCGGCUAACUACGUG